Pristionchus pacificus is the source of this 93-nucleotide non-coding RNA. The record is from Rfam. Lineage: Eukaryota; Metazoa; Nematoda; Chromadorea; Rhabditida; Neodiplogasteridae.
CCACGCAGAGACCGAAGAGAGCCUUCUGUUGACAGUGCGGGCCGUUGGUGCUAAUGCUAUUGUCAUGGAGUCGCUCUCUUCAGGCUUGUGGUC